UUUCCGUAGGUGAACCUGCGGAAGGAUCAUUCAUAAUAAGUGUUUUACUGCACUUUUUAAAAAUAGUACUCACCUUGUGUGCAAUGUUGUGUUUCUUUUCGGAGAAACACCUACACCAACCUAUAACCUUGAACCACUUUGUCUGAAAAACUAUUAUGAAUACUUAAUUCAAAAUACAACUUUCAACAACGGAUCUCUUGGCUCUCGCGUCGAUGAAGAACGCAGC
RNAcentral lists this unclassified non-coding RNA (226 nucleotides) under plant metagenome. RNAcentral's name for it is "partial contains small subunit ribosomal RNA, internal transcribed spacer 1, and 5.8S ribosomal RNA". The stretch from base 178 to 226 matches the Rfam family "5.8S ribosomal RNA", at positions 1 to 49 of the family's 154-position model. The record is from RNAcentral.